GGGUUGUGGCUCAGUGGUAGAGCAUUCACGUAGCAUGUGCAAGGUGCUGGGUUCAAUCCUCAGCACCCA
RNAcentral lists this transfer RNA (69 nucleotides) under Marmota monax (woodchuck). RNAcentral describes it as "tRNA.Ala". Lineage: Eukaryota; Metazoa; Chordata; Mammalia; Rodentia; Sciuridae. The record is from RNAcentral.